RNAcentral lists this ribosomal RNA (521 nucleotides) under uncultured prokaryote. RNAcentral's name for it is "bacterial SSU rRNA". It matches the Rfam family "Bacterial small subunit ribosomal RNA", at positions 355 to 896 of the family's 1533-position model. The record is from RNAcentral.
UGGGGAAUCUUGCACAAUGGAGGAAACUCUGAUGCAGCGAUGCCGCGUGAGUGAAGAAGGCCUUUGGGUUGUAAAGCUCUUUUGUAGGGGAAGAUAAUGACUGUACCCUAGGAAUAAGGUCCGGCUAACUUCGUGCCAGCAGCCGCGGUAAUACGAAGGGACCUAGCGUAGUUCGGAAUUACUGAGCGUAAAGCGCGCGUAGGCCGUUGAGUUAGUUAAUUGUGAAAUCCCAAAGCUUAACUUUGGAACUGCAAUUAAAACUGCUCGACUAGAGUUUGAUAGAGGAAAGCGGAAUACAUAGUGUAGAGGUGAAAUUCGUAGAUAUUAUGUAGAACACCAGUUGCGAAGGCGGCUUUCUGGAUCAACACUGACGCUGAGGCGCGAAAGUAUGGGUAGCAAAGAGGAUUAGAUACCCUCGUAGUCCAUACCAUAAACGAUGAUUGCUAGAUGUUGGAAAUUUAUUUUCAGUAUCGCAGCUAACGCAUUAAGCAAUCCGCCUGGGGAGUACGACCGCAAGGUUA